This 444-nucleotide ribosomal RNA is filed under the name uncultured bacterium. RNAcentral's name for it is "bacterial SSU rRNA". It matches the Rfam family "Bacterial small subunit ribosomal RNA", at positions 28 to 479 of the family's 1533-position model. The record is from RNAcentral.
GAUGAACGCUAGCGACAGGCUUAACACAUGCAAGUCGAGGGGCAGCAUGAAGUAGCAAUACUUUGAUGGCGACCGGCGCACGGGUGAGUAACGCGUAUGCAACCUGUCUGAUACAGAGGGAUAGCCCAUGGAAACGUGGAUUAACACCUCAUAGUAUUGUGAGAUCGCAUGGUUUUACAAUUAAAUCAUUAGAGGUAUCAGUUGGGCAUGCGUCCUAUUAGCUGGUUGGCGGGGUAACGGCCCACCAAGGCGAUGAUAGGUAGGGGUUCUGAGAGGAAGGUCCCCCACAUUGGAACUGAGACACGGUCCAAACUCCUACGGGAGGCAGCAGUCGGGAAUAUUGCACAAUGGGGGAAACCCUGAUGCAGCAACGCCGCGUGAAGGAAGAAGGGCCUUCGGUUGUAACGUUACUUUUAGUCUAGGGACGAAGGACGUGACGGUACC